CAGUAGCCACGGUAAUACAGAGGGUGCAAGCGUUAAUCGGAAUUACUGGGCGUAAAGCGCGCGUAGGCGGCUUUUUAAGUCGGAUGUGAAAUCCCUGAGCUUAACUUAGGAAUUGCAUUCGAUACUGGGAAGCUAGAGUAUGGGAGAGGAUGGUAGAAUUCCAGGUGUAGCGGUGAAAUGCGUAGAGAUCUGGAGGAAUACCGAUGGCGAAGGCAGCCAUCUGGCCUAAUACUGACGCUGAGGUACGAAAGCAUGGGGAGCAAACAGGAUUAGAUACCCCCGUAGUCCCUGUCUCUUAUAC
This 301-nucleotide ribosomal RNA is filed under the name uncultured bacterium. Its description in RNAcentral is "partial 16S ribosomal RNA". It matches the Rfam family "Bacterial small subunit ribosomal RNA", at positions 509 to 807 of the family's 1533-position model. The record is from RNAcentral.